UACGAGGGGGGCGAGCGUUUGUUCGGAAUUAUUGGGCGUAAAGGGUGCGUAGGCGGCCUGACAAGUCUGAUGUGGAAAUCCCUGGGCUCAACCCAGGGCCUGCAUCGGAAACUGUCGGGCUUGAGUAUGGGAGAGGUGAGUGGAAUUUCCGGUGUAGCGGUGAAAUGCGUAGAUAUCGGAAGGAACACCUGUGGCGAAAGCGGCUCACUGGACCAUUACUGACGCUGAGGCACGAAAGCUAGGGGAGCAAACAGG
Molecule: ribosomal RNA, 255 nt
Filed under: uncultured bacterium
Lineage: Bacteria
Description: partial 16S ribosomal RNA
Rfam family: Bacterial small subunit ribosomal RNA
Source: RNAcentral